This 253-nucleotide ribosomal RNA is filed under the name uncultured bacterium. Its description in RNAcentral is "partial 16S ribosomal RNA". It matches the Rfam family "Bacterial small subunit ribosomal RNA", at positions 524 to 776 of the family's 1533-position model. The record is from RNAcentral.
UACGUAGGGCGCAAGCGUUGUCCGGAAUCACUGGGCGUAAAGCGCACGUAGGCGGAUAUGUCAGUCAGGGGUGAAAUCCCGGGGCUCAACCUCGGAACUGCCUUUGAUACAGCAUAUCUUGAGUCCGAUAGAGGUGGGUGGAAUUCCUAGUGUAGAGGUGAAAUUCGUAGAUAUUAGGAAGAACACCGGUGGCGAAGGCGGCCCACUGGAUCGGUACUGACGCUGAGGUGCGAAAGCGUGGGGAGCAAACAGG